AUUGAACGCUGGCGGCAUGCCUUACACAUGCAAGUCGGACGGCAGCAUAGGAGCUUGCUCCUGAUGGCGAGUGGCGAACGGGUGAGUAAUAUAUCGGAACGUGCCCUAGAGUGGGGGAUAACUAGUCGAAAGACUAGCUAAUACCGCAUACGAUCUACGGAUGAAAGUGGGGGAUCGCAAGACCUCAUGCUCCUGGAGCGGCCGAUAUCUGAUUAGCUAGUUGGUGGGGUAAAAGCCUACCAAGGCAACGAUCAGUAGCUGGUCUGAGAGGACGACCAGCCACACUGGGACUGAGACACGGCCCAGACUCCUACGGGAGGCAGCAGUAGGGAAUUUUGGACAAUGGGGGCAACCCUGAUCCAGCAAUGCCGCGUGAGUGAAGAAGGCCUUCGGGUUGUAAAGCUCUUUUGUCAGGGAAGAAACGGUAGUAGCGAAUAACUAUUACUAAUGACGGUACCUGAAGAAUAAGCACCGGCUAACUACGUGCCAGCAGCCGCGGUAA
This 502-nucleotide ribosomal RNA is filed under the name uncultured bacterium. RNAcentral describes it as "partial 16S ribosomal RNA". It matches the Rfam family "Bacterial small subunit ribosomal RNA", at positions 30 to 523 of the family's 1533-position model. The record is from RNAcentral.